AUCGCUUCUCGGCCUUUUAGCUAAGAUCAAGUGCAUAUCUGUUCUUAUCAGAUUGAUAAUGCCUGAGCAGUUGGCAGCAUGCUCAGAUGCACACAGGGGACAUGACAGCCAGCUCAU
This is a small nuclear RNA of Ochotona princeps (American pika), 117 nucleotides long. Its record names the gene U2. It matches the Rfam family "U2 spliceosomal RNA". Rfam says of the family: U2 is a small nuclear RNA (snRNA) component of the spliceosome (involved in pre-mRNA splicing). Complementary binding between U2 snRNA (in an area lying towards the 5' end but 3' to hairpin I) and the branchpoint sequence (BPS) of the intron results the bulging out of an unpaired adenosine, on the BPS, which initiates a nucleophilic attack at the intronic 5' splice site, thus starting the first of two transesterification reactions that mediate splicing. Lineage: Eukaryota; Metazoa; Chordata; Mammalia; Lagomorpha; Ochotonidae. The record is from Ensembl.